UACGAAGGGGGCUAGCGUUGUUCGGAAUCACUGGGCGUAAAGCGCACGUAGGCGGCGCGUUAAGUCAGGGGUGAAAUCCUGGAGCUCAACUCCAGAACUGCCUUUGAUACUGGCGUGCUCGAGUGUGGGAGAGGUUGGUGGAACUCCGAGUGUAGAGGUGAAAUUCGUAGAUACUCGGAAGAACACCAGUGGCGAAGGCGGCCAUCUGGCCGAUUACCGACGCUGAUGUGCGAAAGCCUUGGGAGCAAACAGG
RNAcentral lists this ribosomal RNA (253 nucleotides) under uncultured bacterium. RNAcentral describes it as "partial 16S ribosomal RNA". It matches the Rfam family "Bacterial small subunit ribosomal RNA", at positions 524 to 776 of the family's 1533-position model. The record is from RNAcentral.